UGAAACCGUGUACGUACAAGCAGUGGGAGCCUCUUAAUGGGGUGACUGCGUACCUUUUGUAUAAUGGGUCAGCGACUUAUAUUCUGUAGCAAGGUUAACCGAAUAGGGGAGCCGAAGGGAAACCGAGUCUUAACUGGGCGUUAAGUUGCAGGGUAUAGACCCGAAACCCGGUGAUCUAGCCAUGGGCAGGUUGAAGGUUGGGUAACACUAACUGGAGGACCGAACCGACUAAUGUUGAAAAAUUAGCGGAUGACUUGUGGCUGGGGGUGAAAGGCCAAUCAAACCGGGAGAUAGCUGGUUCUCCCCGAAAGCUAUUUAGGUAGCGCCUCGUGAAUUCAUCUCCGGGGGUAGAGCACUGUUUCGGCAAGGGGGUCAUCCCGACUUACCAACCCGAUGCAAACUGCGAAUACCGGAGAAUGUUAUCACGGGAGACACACGGCGGGUGCUAACGUCCGUCGUGAAGAGGGAAACAACCCAGACCGCCAGCUAAGGUCCCAAAGUCAUGGUUAAGUGGGAAACGAUGUGGGAAGGCCCAGACAGCCAGGAUGUUGGCUUAGAAGCAGCCAUCAUUUAAAGAAAGCGUAAUAGCUCACUGGUCGAGUCGGCCUGCGCGGAAGAUGUAACGGGGCUAAACCAUGCACCGAAGCUGCGGCAGCGACACUAUGUGUUGUUGGGUAGGGGAGCGUUCUGUAAGCCUGUGAAGGUGGCCUGUGAGGGUUGCUGGAGGUAUCAGAAGUGCGAAUGCUGACAUAAGUAACGAUAAAGCGGGUGAAAAGCCCGCUCGCCGGAAGACCAAGGGUUCCUGUCCAACGUUAAUCGGGGCAGGGUGAGUCGACCCCUAAGGCGAGGCCGAAAGGCGUAGUCGAUGGGAAACAG
This 876-nucleotide ribosomal RNA is filed under the name Escherichia coli. RNAcentral's name for it is "partial 23S ribosomal RNA". It matches the Rfam family "Bacterial large subunit ribosomal RNA", at positions 551 to 1428 of the family's 2925-position model. Lineage: Bacteria; Pseudomonadati; Pseudomonadota; Gammaproteobacteria; Enterobacterales; Enterobacteriaceae. The record is from RNAcentral.